CUAGGAGUGGUGCUGUUCCUAGCUGGUUACUGGGCCGCUGGGGCAGAAGGGAGGGACGAGGACAUCACCACAGAGAGGUUGUAGAUGCUCCAUCCCUGGAGUUCUUCAAGGCCAGAUUGGACGGGGCUCUGGGCAGCCUGAUCAAGUGGCUGGCAACCCUGCCUGUGGCUUUGGAGCUGGAACAAGAUCAUCUUUGAGAUUCCUUCCAACCCAACCCAUUCUAAGGCUUCAUCCUAAAGCACUGCUGUUAAUGCACUUAUGUUGGCCUGACCUGCUCCGGAGGCUGCCACAGCAUUCAUACGAAGACCAUCCCUAGGCUUCCCUGGACUUU
Molecule: long non-coding RNA, 331 nt
Filed under: Gallus gallus (chicken)
Lineage: Eukaryota; Metazoa; Chordata; Aves; Galliformes; Phasianidae
Description: long non-coding RNA NONGGAT001104
Source: RNAcentral